AGGAUGAAAAUACAGAGUGAUCCAUCGGCUAAGUGUUUUAUCACGAUGCUGAAACUCAAAUAA
Small nucleolar RNA from Myotis lucifugus (little brown bat), 63 nucleotides. Ensembl annotates it as small nucleolar RNA SNORD71. The record is from Ensembl. NCBI's taxonomy places the organism in Eukaryota, Metazoa, Chordata, Mammalia, Chiroptera, Vespertilionidae.